This is a small nuclear RNA of Dipodomys spectabilis (banner-tailed kangaroo rat), 103 nucleotides long. Lineage: Eukaryota; Metazoa; Chordata; Mammalia; Rodentia; Heteromyidae. The record is from RefSeq and is a predicted model, not a curated record.
AUGUGGAUUUAGCAGCAUAUGCACUAAAACUGGAAUGACACAAAGAUUAACAUGACCCCUGUGAAAGGAUGGCAUGCCUAUUUGUGAAGCAUUCCAUAUUUUU